AAACCAGCACCUCAAGUGGUCAGGAGGAUUAUUGGGCCUAAAGCAUCCGUAGCCUGUUCUGUAAGUUUUCGGUUAAAUCCAUUAGCUCAACUAAUGGCCUGCCGGAAAUACUGCAGAACUAGGAAGUGGGAGAGGUAGACGGUACUCGGUAGGAAGGGGUAAAAUCCUUUGAUCUAUUGAUGACCACCUGUGGCGAAGGCGGUCUACCAGAACACGUUCGACGGUGAGGGAUGAAAGCUGGGGGAGCAAACCGGAUUAGAAACCCGGGUAGUCC
This 274-nucleotide ribosomal RNA is filed under the name uncultured bacterium. Its description in RNAcentral is "partial 16S ribosomal RNA". It matches the Rfam family "Archaeal small subunit ribosomal RNA", at positions 473 to 747 of the family's 1478-position model. The record is from RNAcentral.